GGUGCAACUUUUAUUGCGCACAUAUUUCUUACUACUUGAAAUAAGGUGGAUUUUCAACUGUCCUAAGUCUAAUCAUCCUAAAUUCAACCAAAUUUACAAGAACAAUAGAUGUGGCAGAUGUCAUUACUUUUCUCACAAAUUAUAUCAAAGUCAGAAUAGUUUGGCUUGCGACGACGGCAAAUCUAUUAUUUGUCAAGACUCAGGGAGUAAUUCAACUAUGAUAGAAUAAAAGGGAAACGUCCAAAUUAGUCGUCCAAAUAUUUAGUUCAAUUUACUUCUUCCAGGUAUUUCACACGGUCCACUUUACAACUUAAUUUUUUUUUUGUUUUUGUAUGUACAAAUCGUGUUAUUGUUUCAAAUUUUGUGAGGUGAUAGAGGACACCAAAUUUUGUGUUACAAAUAUACAUUAAUUAUGAAUUCUCCAUCAUCAUGUUUUGUACAUAUUGUAUCUCUAUUGUUAGUUUCUUAUUAAAUUUUAUAACCUGCCAUAAUAAAAUGGUGGAAAAGAUAAUAUAUUUUUUCUAAUAGAACUUGUGAUGUUGUCUAUCACCUCAAAAAAAUGAUAAUAAAACUCAAUUUAUAUGCCGGGAAACAGAAAUAACAAAUCUUGUUAAGGUUAAACUGGAUGAACUCAACUAGUCAGGAGAAGUGAAUCAAACCAAAUAUUGAAUUU
Molecule: long non-coding RNA, 673 nt
Filed under: Sorghum bicolor (sorghum)
Lineage: Eukaryota; Viridiplantae; Streptophyta; Magnoliopsida; Poales; Poaceae
Description: long non-coding RNA (SBIC_LNC003542)
Source: RNAcentral